AACGAACGCUGGCGGCAUGCCUAACACAUGCAAGUCGAACGAGACCUUCGGGUCUAGUGGCGCACGGGUGCGUAACGCGUGGGAAUCUGCCCUUGGGUUCGGAAUAACAGUUGGAAACGACUGCUAAUACCGGAUGAUGACGUAAGUCCAAAGAUUUAUCGCCCAAGGAUGAGCCCGCGUAGGAUUAGCUAGUUGGUGAGGUAAAGGCUCACCAAGGCGACGAUCCUUAGCUGGUCUGAGAGGAUGAUCAGCCACACUGGGACUGAGACACGGCCCAGACUCCUACGGGAGGCAGCAGUGGGGAAUAUUGGACAAUGGGCGAAAGCCUGAUCAAGCAAUGCGGCGUGAGUGAUGAAGGCCUUAGGAUUGUAAAGCUCUUUUACACGGGAUGAUAAUGACAGUAACGGGAGAAUAAGCUCCGGCUAACUCCGUG
RNAcentral lists this ribosomal RNA (433 nucleotides) under uncultured bacterium. RNAcentral's name for it is "partial 16S ribosomal RNA". It matches the Rfam family "Bacterial small subunit ribosomal RNA", at positions 29 to 507 of the family's 1533-position model. The record is from RNAcentral.